Long non-coding RNA from Bombus impatiens (common eastern bumble bee), 2231 nucleotides. RefSeq lists it as uncharacterized. NCBI's taxonomy places the organism in Eukaryota, Metazoa, Arthropoda, Insecta, Hymenoptera, Apidae. The record is from RefSeq and is a predicted model, not a curated record. The transcript has 3 exons.
GUCGGAGAUUCGCGGAUCAGUCUCUCCCCUAACGGUGCUAAGAUGCAUUCGAGAUGCAACGGUGCAAGUGUCUUUCCUCCGGAGUAGCGUUUCUUCGCUUUGUUAAUAGGCUCUUGCGCUGUGUGAUCUUUGCAUUACAUGAAAAUAGUUGGUGUCGAUAAAGAAAAAUGACAUUGUUUGAUGUGGGAGGAAUGAUGUUGCAUGAUGUAAAAAUUGGGGAGGAGGAGGAUUUUUCUGGUAAAAGGUCUAUGAUAAAUAUAUAGCUGCUGAAUGUAUUUUAUAGUCAGAUAGUUGGCUUAUUAUAUAGUAUUAAAUCUCCUCGAUAAACGUUCGACUAGGAAAUGGCAAAUUGGCGAAAGAGUAUGCUAAAAGAUUUUUUCACGUGUUGACAUUAAAACGUAUUUCUGAAUGAUGUGACUGUUUAACGAAAUCGAUUGCACGUUCAUUGGGCAAGUGGUUAUUCCCGGUCGAAAUGGCAUUUGUGCACCUGCUAUUCCUGCCAUUCAAAUAUUACAAUGAAACGUAUCUUUGAACUGGACUUUACUGAAGGAACUUCGUCAGCAAUGUCAAGGACCUUUUGCUUCUCUGUGUAGUAAAACGAUAGUUCCUGUUCACACAGAGUAUAUGAGUCGAGUCACGUCAAGUUCAUCUAUGUUUAGAUUACAAUAACACUUACCUUGUAAAUUGAACUUUGCUAAAUAUAGAUAAUCGGGAAAUUCAUCUACACUUACGUCUAUUAACUAGGAAUUUUAUAAAUAGUCGAAUAGUCAGAUUCAAAAAUUAUCUUGUAUUUUAUCGACACAGGAACAUAAAGCGUCAAUUACAAGAAGAUUCUUCAUCGAUCAAUCGCGGUGCCAGUUGACCACGUUGAAUAUACGUUUUUCAUUUUCCAGUAUAAAAAUAAAAUGACGAAUAAAAACCCGUCAUCGUUUACUAUACUAUAACUUUGGAUCAAGUUUCAUGCUAUCGAUAUUUAUGAUUCAUUGACUGUUUCCUCUUUUUAAUAGUUUAAAUAAGUAGUCUCUUGGUUGUGACUUUUGUAAUCGAUAAGAUAAUGAUUCAUGAUAUUUUCUAUCGAUAUAAUUUAAAGUAGUUUUCUCUCUUUAAAAUGCAGAAUUAUUUAUUGAAGAGAUUCUUACACGGAUCCAAGUCUCCUCUGAAGAAAAUAAUGAGCUGGGAUGUUCAUGAAAUAUCGGUACACAGCAAGAUGUACUAUUACAAGCGUGAUCGAAACGCGAAGAAUCACAAACAUGUCAUCCAAUAAAUUUAUAGUUAACAAAGAACCAAUUUUUCUCACAAAACAAAAUAUUUAGUCCCGGAAGGGCUAAUCAACGUUUCAAAAAACCGUAAUUAUAUUACGAGAAGCUGGAGAUGGUUCGUUCGUAAUAGUAACUCUUUUCUUUUUCUUUCUUUUUAUUCUUUUCGUUGAAGAGGAGACGUGGAACGGUCUUAACAUCUAACUCACAAGAUAUUAACGAUUUCGUAAGCCGAAUGAUCCCCGGAGACUCAUCGGAUAGACAAAGGCGUAGAAACCGCGGCUACCUGUUGCUUUACAACCGAAUGUGAAAGCCGAAUCUGCGAACCAGCCAAUACCUACCCCCCUAGCUCGUUUGGUCGUCGAAGUCGAAGCCUCGAGGCAACGUACACGCGGCCGUGCGUCCUUGGUAAUUGUGACAUUUGCUUUUCUCGGCGCGCGUACAACAGCGAGAAGAGCCGAGGAAAGUUAGUGACGUAACUACCGGUGACCUUGCCAUUUCAGAAGAAGAUACGGAGGAUGCCUCCGGCUACCGCGUCUCCAGGCGUCUUCUCUCCUUCCCUUCACUUCUUUUUCCCUUUCCUUUGCUUCCGUGGAUGUUACAGUGUAUCGAAAAUCAUACAUAUUAUACAAUUCUCUCUCUCGUUAGUUUUCGCCUCGAAAAGUAAAAAUAUACGUAUGCCUUCAUUCAUAAGUCACUUUAGAAACCUUGCCAAUUUUGAAUAGAAUGCUCAUCGAAGUAGGUUUUUUAGGAAGAUUCCAAAUCGAGAAUACGGGAAUUUAUACGACUCUUCAUUUUACUUUUUCUUAGGUAUCUCUUCGGUUAUGUAAUUUUUUAUAUUUACUAUUGUAAUGUUAACGGGCGUUGGAAGAUUGAACGCAAAGGAUUUCAGGCAAAUGACCUAUUGUCACUAAUUCGGUAUUCUCUUUCAGAGUUACUCGUACAAAUUUUGUUUUACCUAUGUUUAAUUUAUUG